UGCCCCGUCUCCCCAAAUCACGGAACAAUAUCGUCACGCAGAGGGCGGAGACCUCGCGCGCAUUAUGUUCCUCCCGAUCCCAUCACGCUCUUUCUCCUCCGCCGGCCCUAGGUAGGUGGCUGCUCUGCCCUCGACGGGUGUCUCAGCGUCGCUAUAUCUCUGAUGGUCGCUCCGCCCUCAAUGGGGUGUCCCAGCAUCGAUCUCCCUCAGAUCUCGCCACCAUCUCGGCCGGCGUCGUUACCUGCCUCCUCCAUCAGCGCUCGAGCGAAGCCGCCAUCAUAUCACGUGUUGCUGCGCAUGAGAGCGGAGCGGACGCAGAACUGGGUCAAGUAGAUUGAUUUUGAGCGGCGCACAGAGCCGAUGGUGGGGCGCUGGACUAGGCAGGCACCGCCGCCGCUCCUGCAUACCCGGGGGCGAGCGAGGAUGCAGGCAUGGCCGCCGCUCCCGAGGGAGUGGAUCUACCACUGCUGGUUUCAGUCACAUCACCUAUGCUAUAAUCCCACCCAUAUACAUGGCUGCCUGAAGGAGGUGUUCAAGAUGAAUGGGUACCGACAACAGCGGGCAGAUCAACUACGAGGAGCUCAAGGCUGUUCUGGAGCAGGUGGGUGCAAGGUAAUAUCCGACUCUUCAUGUUGAUCUGCCCGCUGCUCCCCUUCUCCUAGGUAACACCAUGGAAUCCCAUGUUUCUUUAAAUAUAUUUCUUGGAACUUCUUCUAAAAUUUUGGUCGCUCUUGGGAGUUCUUAUUCCAAUCAGAUCCACAGAAGGUGAUCUGGCUAACAUGCCGUGGAUUCAGGAUAGUGUGUGGGAUUUCCAGUAGAAGAGUAUCUUCAGAGAUGGCUCUUCUUGGCACCGCUAUCUCUGGUGUGAAUGUCCUUGCCAUGCCCAUUUUAGUGCCAGACACAAUACAGGAGAGUAAUGUUAUCAGGUCAUCACUCUUGUGGAAGGAUCGGCGCAGCAGAGCUUCGAAGGAGAUCCAGGUGUUCUUCUCCAUCCUUCAACAAGUGGAUUAUUCUUUGUGCCAAUGCAUAGCUUGAUUUCAUGUGAGAGGAUGGAUGUGUGAUGCACACGAUGCAACAUGUCCUAGAAUGAUGCGACGGACAGUGCCGCUGACAACGGCUAGGUGACAAGGAUGAGCCCCCUCGCACCAAAGCAGCUCGCAAGCUUGAUGGCGCCAAGGCAUCUCCCUACUGCUAUAAGAACGUCCACCAAUAAGCUACACAUGCUCCUACACCUUCUUAUGGCUUUUCAGGGAACAGCAGGCUGCAUUUCGUAUGCGGUUCGUAAUUUAUUCAUUAUCUCACUUUUAUCCAUAUCUUUAUUUUGGUUAUUAAGAUCCAAUUUGAACUUAAUUGUCUGGUUUAUUUUUGUUCCUUUCAGGCUUCAGUCUUGAAACAAAUUGAGGUUCAAAGAAGUAUUCACAUUGAGACCAAUCUCCAUUCCAUGCAGGUAGGGAAAGGGUUACUAGGUUUGGUUGGCGAUGGUUGUUCAUUGAUUUUUUAGGAUUUGUUUAUUGAUUAAUAAACGAUGCAUGAUCCUGUUAUGUAGAUAUCAUUUGAUGGGGAAACUUUUUAUAUGUUGCAUGAAAUGGUUUCUCAUUCUAUUUUAUUUCAGAUGUAUCUUCACCAGCAAUUAUAACUUCCCACUUUUGCUCAAGAUUUACAUGUGAGCCAAGCAAAUAUGGUGGCACAAUGCUUGACCUUCUAAUAUGUUAUGUACUAUUUCCAUUAGUGAACAUUGGUGCGUCUAAAAGACACAAUAUUCUACGAUGUUUGGAAACUCUUUAUUGGAUUUAAAUUUUCAAAUGUUACUCUUAUGUUUGGUAUGGGAUGUUCGCUUCUCAAAUAUAUUUUAAUCAUUUUCCUUUA
Molecule: long non-coding RNA, 1866 nt
Organism: Triticum aestivum (bread wheat)
Lineage: Eukaryota; Viridiplantae; Streptophyta; Magnoliopsida; Poales; Poaceae
Exons: 5
Source: RefSeq, a predicted model, not a curated record